UGAAUACGAGACGCUAAGGCGUCGAAGUAGUGUAUGUCAUACUUCCAAGAAAAGCUUGCACUGUCAUAGAUAAAAAACGCCUGUACCAUAACCGACACAGGUGGGUAGGUAGAGUAUACUAAGGGGCGCGAGAUAACUCUCUCUAAGGAACUCGGCAAAAUAACUCCGUAACUUCGGGAGAAGGAGUGCCUUAUUCGUAAGGUUGCAAUAACAAGAUCCAAGCAACUGUUUAUCAAAAACACAGGUCUCCGCUAAGUCGUAAGACGAUGUAUGGGGGCUGACGCCUGCCCAGUGCCAGAAGGUUAAAGAAGUUGGUUAGCAAUUGCGAAGCUGAUAACUGAAGCCCUGGUGAACGGCGGCCGUAACAAUAACGGUCCUAAGGUAGCGAAAUUCCUUGUCGGGUAAGUUCCGACCCGCAAAAGGCGUAAUGAUUUGGAUACUGUCUCGGAGAGGGGCUCGGUGAAAUAGACUUGUCUGUGAAGAUGCGGACUACCUGCACCAGGACAGAAAGACCCUAUGAAGCUUUACUGUAACUUGAAAUUGAAAUUGGACUUUAUUCGCGCAGUAUAGGUGGGAGGCGUUGAUUAUAAUCUUGUGGGAUUAUUGGAGCCAUCAGUGAGAUACCACUCUUGUAAUGUUAGAUUUCUAACUUUGAAUCAUUAUCUGGUCAAAGAACAGUUUCAGGCGGGCAGUUUGACUGGGGCGGUCGCCUCCUAAACGGUAACGGAGGCGUACUAAGGUUUCCUCUGAACGGUUAGAAAUCGUAUCUAGAGUGUAAAGGCAUAAGGAAGCUUGACUGUGAGACCUACAAGUCGAGCAGGGACGAAAGUCGGUCUUAGUGAUCUGACGGUACUGAGUGGAAAGGCCGUCACUCAACGGAUAAAAGUUACUCUAAGGAUAACAGGCUGAUCUCCCCCAAGAGUUCACAUCGACGGGGAGGUUUGGCACCUCGAUGUCGGCUCAUCGCAUCCUGGGGCGGUAGUACGUCCCAAGGGUUGGGCUGUUCGCCCAUGAAAGCGGUACGCGAGCUGGGUUCAGAACGUCGUGAGACAGUUCGGUCCAUAUCCGGUGUAGGCGUUAGAAUAUUGAGAGGAGCCUUCUUUAGUACGAGAGGACCGAGAAGGACAUACCUCUGGUGUACCAGUCAUCGUGCCAACGGUAAACGCUGGGUAGCUAUGUAUGGAGUGGAUAACCGCUGAAAGCAUCUAAGUGGGAAGCCCACCUCAAGAUAAGUAUUCU
This 1239-nucleotide ribosomal RNA is filed under the name metagenome. Its description in RNAcentral is "bacterial LSU rRNA". It matches the Rfam family "Bacterial large subunit ribosomal RNA", at positions 1564 to 2814 of the family's 2925-position model. The record is from RNAcentral.